Molecule: ribosomal RNA, 484 nt
Filed under: uncultured bacterium
Lineage: Bacteria
Description: partial 16S ribosomal RNA
Rfam family: Bacterial small subunit ribosomal RNA
Source: RNAcentral
AUUGAACGCUGGCGGCAGGCCUAACACAUGCAAGUCGAGCGGAGGAAGGGAGCUUGCUCCUGGAUUCAGCGGCGGACGGGUGAGUAAUGCCUAGGAAUCUGCCUGGUAGUGGGGGAUAACGUCCGGAAACGGGCGCUAAUACCGCAUACGUCCUGAGGGAGAAAGUGGGGGAUCUUCGGACCUCACGCUAUCAGAUGAGCCUAGGUCGGAUUAGCUAGUUGGUGGGGUAAAGGCCUACCAAGGCGACGAUCCGUAACUGGUCUGAGAGGAUGAUCAGUCACGCUGGAACUGAGACACGGUCCAGACUCCUACGGGAGGCAGCAGUGGGGAAUAUUGGACAAUGGGCGAAAGCCUGAUCCAGCCAUGCCGCGUGUGUGAAGAAGGUCUUCGGAUUGUAAAGCACUUUAAGUUGGGAGGAAGGGCAGUAAGUUAAUACCUUGCUGUUUUGACGUUACCAACAGAAUAAGCACCGGCUAACUUCGUG